UACGUAGGUGACAAGCGUUGUCCGGAUUUACUGGGCGUAAAGAGCGCGCAGGCGGUCGAUCAAGUCGAGUGUGAAAGCCCCCGGCUCAACUGGGGAGGGUCAUUCGAUACUUAUCGACUCGAAGGCAGGAGAGGGUAGUGGAAUUCCCGGUGUAGUGGUGAAAUGCGUAGAUAUCGGGAGGAACACCAGUGGCGAAGGCGACUACCUGGCCUGUUCUUGACGCUGAGGCGCGAAAGCUAGGGGAGCAAACGGG
RNAcentral lists this ribosomal RNA (253 nucleotides) under uncultured bacterium. Its description in RNAcentral is "partial 16S ribosomal RNA". It matches the Rfam family "Bacterial small subunit ribosomal RNA", at positions 524 to 776 of the family's 1533-position model. The record is from RNAcentral.